RNAcentral lists this ribosomal RNA (2764 nucleotides) under Shigella sonnei. Its description in RNAcentral is "23S ribosomal RNA". It matches the Rfam family "Bacterial large subunit ribosomal RNA". The record is from RNAcentral. Lineage: Bacteria; Pseudomonadati; Pseudomonadota; Gammaproteobacteria; Enterobacterales; Enterobacteriaceae.
UUAAGCGACUAAGUGUACACGGUGGAUGCCCUGGCAGUCAGAGGCGAUGAAGGACGUGCUAAUCUGCGAUAAGCGUCGGUAAGGUGAUAUGAACCGUUAUAACCGGCGAUUUCCGAAUGGGGAAACCCAGUGUGNNNNNNNNNNNNNNNNNNNNNNNNNNNNNNNNNNNNNNNNNNNNNNNNNNNNNNNNNNNNNNNNNNNNNNNNNNNNCACAUAUUGUGAGCUCGAUGAGUAGGGCGGGACACGUGGUAUCCUGUCUGAAUAUGGGGGGACCAUCCUCCAAGGCUAAAUACUCCUGACUGACCGAUAGUGAACCAGUACCGUGAGGGAAAGGCGAAAAGAACCCCGGCGAGGGGAGUGAAAAAGAACCUGAAACCGUGUACGUACAAGCAGUGGGAGCACGCUUAGGCGUGUGACUGCGUACCUUUUGUAUAAUGGGUCAGCGACUUAUAUUCUGUAGCAAGGUUAACCGAAUAGGGGAGCCGAAGGGAAACCGAGUCUUAACUGGGCGUUAAGUUGCAGGGUAUAGACCCGAAACCCGGUGAUCUAGCCAUGGGCAGGUUGAAGGUUGGGUAACACUAACUGGAGGACCGAACCGACUAAUGUUGAAAAAUUAGCGGAUGACUUGUGGCUGGGGGUGAAAGGCCAAUCAAACCGGGAGAUAGCUGGUUCUCCCCGAAAGCUAUUUAGGUAGCGCCUCGUGAAUUCAUCUCCGGGGGUAGAGCACUGUUUCGGCAAGGGGGUCAUCCCGACUUACCAACCCGAUGCAAACUGCGAAUACCGGAGAAUGUUAUCACGGGAGACACACGGCGGGUGCUAACGUCCGUCGUGAAGAGGGAAACAACCCAGACCGCCAGCUAAGGUCCCAAAGUCAUGGUUAAGUGGGAAACGAUGUGGGAAGGCCCAGACAGCCAGGAUGUUGGCUUAGAAGCAGCCAUCAUUUAAAGAAAGCGUAAUAGCUCACUGGUCGAGUCGGCCUGCGCGGAAGAUGUAACGGGGCUAAACCAUGCACCGAAGCUGCGGCAGCGACGCUUAUGCGUUGUUGGGUAGGGGAGCGUUCUGUAAGCCUGCGAAGGUGUGCUGUGAGGCAUGCUGGAGGUAUCAGAAGUGCGAAUGCUGACAUAAGUAACGAUAAAGCGGGUGAAAAGCCCGCUCGCCGGAAGACCAAGGGUUCCUGUCCAACGUUAAUCGGGGCAGGGUGAGUCGACCCCUAAGGCGAGGCCGAAAGGCGUAGUCGAUGGGAAACAGGUUAAUAUUCCUGUACUUGGUGUUACUGCGAAGGGGGGACGGAGAAGGCUAUGUUGGCCGGGCGACGGUUGUCCCGGUUUAAGCGUGUAGGCUGGUUUUCCAGGCAAAUCCGGAAAAUCAAGGCUGAGGCGUGAUGACGAGGCACUACGGUGCUGAAGCAACAAAUGCCCUGCUUCCAGGAAAAGCCUCUAAGCAUCAGGUAACAUCAAAUCGUACCCCAAACCGACACAGGUGGUCAGGUAGAGAAUACCAAGGCGCUUGAGAGAACUCGGGUGAAGGAACUAGGCAAAAUGGUGCCGUAACUUCGGGAGAAGGCACGCUGAUAUGUAGGUGAAGUCCCUUGCGGAUGGAGCUGAAAUCAGUCGAAGAUACCAGCUGGCUGCAACUGUUUAUUAAAAACACAGCACUGUGCAAACACGAAAGUGGACGUAUACGGUGUGACGCCUGCCCGGUGCCGGAAGGUUAAUUGAUGGGGUCAGCGCAAGCGAAGCUCUUGAUCGAAGCCCCGGUAAACGGCGGCCGUAACUAUAACGGUCCUAAGGUAGCGAAAUUCCUUGUCGGGUAAGUUCCGACCUGCACGAAUGGCGUAAUGAUGGCCAGGCUGUCUCCACCCGAGACUCAGUGAAAUUGAACUCGCUGUGAAGAUGCAGUGUACCCGCGGCAAGACGGAAAGACCCCGUGAACCUUUACUAUAGCUUGACACUGAACAUUGAGCCUUGAUGUGUAGGAUAGGUGGGAGGCUUUGAAGUGUGGACGCCAGUCUGCAUGGAGCCGGCCUUGAAAUACCACCCUUUAAUGUUUGAUGUUCUAACGUGGACCCGUGAUCCGGGUUGCGGACAGUGUCUGGUGGGUAGUUUGACUGGGGCGGUCUCCUCCUAAAGAGUAACGGAGGAGCACGAAGGUUGGCUAAUCCUGGUCGGACAUCAGGAGGUUAGUGCAAUGGCAUAAGCCAGCUUGACUGCGAGCGUGACGGCGCGAGCAGGUGCGAAAGCAGGUCAUAGUGAUCCGGUGGUUCUGAAUGGAAGGGCCAUCGCUCAACGGAUAAAAGGUACUCCGGGGAUAACAGGCUGAUACCGCCCAAGAGUUCAUAUCGACGGCGGUGUUUGGCACCUCGAUGUCGGCUCAUCACAUCCUGGGGCUGAAGUAGGUCCCAAGGGUAUGGCUGUUCGCCAUUUAAAGUGGUACGCGAGCUGGGUUUAGAACGUCGUGAGACAGUUCGGUCCCUAUCUGCCGUGGGCGCUGGAGAACUGAGGGGGGCUGCUCCUAGUACGAGAGGACCGGAGUGGACGCAUCACUGGUGUUCGGGUUGUCAUGCCAAUGGCACUGCCCGGUAGCUAAAUGCGGAAGAGAUAAGUGCUGAAAGCAUCUAAGCACGAAACUUGCCCCGAGAUGAGUUCUCCCUGACCCUUUAAGGGUCCUGAAGGAACGUUGAAGACGACGACGUUGAUAGGCCGGGUGUGUAAGCGCAGCGAUGCGUUGAGCUAACCGGUACUAAUGAACCGUGAGGCUUAACCUU